CUAAAAUGAUGUAAACCUUAUUCCGAAAUACCAUGUGGUUACAAAAUAUACGAGCUUUUUAACACUGAUUAGU
Molecule: small nucleolar RNA, 73 nt
Organism: Trichoplusia ni (cabbage looper)
Lineage: Eukaryota; Metazoa; Arthropoda; Insecta; Lepidoptera; Noctuidae
Source: RefSeq, a predicted model, not a curated record